This 500-nucleotide ribosomal RNA is filed under the name uncultured bacterium. Its description in RNAcentral is "partial 16S ribosomal RNA". It matches the Rfam family "Bacterial small subunit ribosomal RNA", at positions 30 to 523 of the family's 1533-position model. The record is from RNAcentral.
AUUGAACGCUGGCGGAAUGCUUUACACAUGCAAGUCGAACGGCAGCACGGACUUCGGUCUGGUGGCGAGUGGCGAACGGGUGAGCAAUGUAUCGGAACGUGCCCAGUCGUGGGGGAUAACGUAGUGAAAAUUACGCUAAUACCGCAUACGAUCCAUGGAUGAAAGCGGGGGAUCGCAAGACCUCGCGCGAUUGGAGCGGCCGAUAUCAGAUUAGGUAGUUGGUGGGGUAAAGGCCCACCAAGCCAACGAUCUGUAGCUGGUCUGAGAGGACGACCAGCCACACUGGAACUGAGACACGGUCCAGAAUCCGACGGGAGGCAGCCGUGGGGAAUUUUGGACAAUGGGCGAAAGCCUGAUCCAGCCAUUCCGCGUGCAGGAUGAAGGCCCUCGGGUUGUAAACUGCUUUUGUACAGAACGAAAAGGUUUCUACUAAUACUAGGAGCUCAUGACGGUACUGUAAGAAUAAGCACCGGCUAACUACGUGCCAGCCGCCGCAGUAA